RNAcentral lists this non-coding RNA (46 nucleotides) under Pelobates cultripes (western spadefoot toad). It matches the Rfam family "Histone 3' UTR stem-loop". From Rfam's summary of the family: The mRNAs of metazoan histone genes lack a poly-A tail. 3' end processing occurs at a site between a highly conserved stem-loop (modelled by this family) and a purine rich region around 20 nts downstream (the histone downstream element, or HDE). The stem-loop is bound by a 31 kDa stem-loop binding protein (SLBP - also termed the histone hairpin binding protein, or HBP). The record is from RNAcentral. Lineage: Eukaryota; Metazoa; Chordata; Amphibia; Anura; Pelobatidae.
CCUAAGGCUCUUUUCAGAGCCAUUAACCACUAUCUUGCCAGUGAUC